GUGCGGUACUAGUGUAAAAAAUGUGGAAUAUCAGCUCUUUGGUGUGGUUCUUAUUGGAAAGUAUUGCGUUUCUCACUGUGUAAUGUUCCCCUUUAAGAAAGACAGUAAUAUCA
Thalassophryne amazonica is the source of this 113-nucleotide long non-coding RNA. RefSeq lists it as uncharacterized. The record is from RefSeq and is a predicted model, not a curated record. Lineage: Eukaryota; Metazoa; Chordata; Actinopteri; Batrachoidiformes; Batrachoididae. The transcript is spliced from 3 exons.